CACCCCCGCCAGUACCCCUCUGCUCCUCCUCCCCGUCGUCCUCCGCCACCCACCAUACCGGUAUCGUCGCGGGGGAAAGAUAGCAUCUUGUUGGUGCGCCUGCCGGCGGCACGUUGUGAGGAAUGGGAGCGGAGACCGUAUCGGCGGCCCUACGUUAACGGAUGGACCGGAAGGAUGAUGUUGUUGGGGGUCCUACGUUGGCGGCACGUCGUGAGGAGUGACAGUUAUGGCAGGUGCCGCUGGUAUCGGUGAGGGAGUGCGUAACUUCUCCUACAAGGAGGCAGCGAAGGGAACGGUAGCUUCAAUAGCAAAGCAGCGGCAGGUGAAGGCGUACCAGACGUAGGAGUGUCGAGGGAAAGGAGAGGACGUUCUUGGAUUCUAGACUUCUACAGUGACGUUGAUGUUCACUUUCCUAGGUUCUAGGAGUGGUUGCAUGAACGAACUACGAAAUGUUAAUGACGAUGCGAACAUCUAUAUAUCUAUAUGAACCGAACUUCAACUUAAAGAUGAUCACAACAACCGAACAACGACAUGAGAAAGUACCCAUAACAGGUUAUCAUUAUAAGGUACCCAUUACAAGUUAUCGUAAAUACCUUGUCCUUUCUUACGAUAAAUAUUUUAAUUGACUGGUCCUAUGACUUCUACAGAACGAACACGACGUGUAUGUGUCCAUCAAACAAAGAAAGACAUUGAUUUUGCAACUCAAAUGACUUAGAACACAGAAAGACAUUGACUUUGCAACGCAAAUGACUUAGAACAAAGAAAGACAUGUGACCGAUCACUAGGAGCCGACAUGUAUAUGACGUCAUCAAACACAGAAAGAUGCUGACUCUCUUCAUCUGUUUGUAGUAGCCGACGUGAUUUAUCACAAUAAAGCAUGCUUACAUAACUACAAAGGGACAGUUCAACCGGAUACACCCACAUACGGUACCGGUCCCUGACCACAGUUGACUGUGUUCAGUAUAGAACGUUAAAGAAGUAUUUAGACACAAUUAAUGACAGGUAUAUGCAUACGACUGGGGAAACGUUACUUCCGACUGUGAUAUCAUCAAAAACAGAUCGAAGCAGGGACCGGUACCGCCGACGCUGGUGCUGGUGUUGAGGACAUAAAAACAUAAAACCUCACAGGGUGCAAAACACAUUUAUCAGGGUUCAAAAGAAAAACUGAUACAUUUUAUAAUGGUUCAAUUAUAGUCUUGGUGACAGGAUAUGACUUGGUAUGACGGUGUAAGUCGCAUAAACUGGAACCAUCAAACGAAUGGUGUAAGUCCGAUGUAAACUAAAGUAAAUUAGAGAUUUCGGAUCGAAUAAAAACGAAUGUUGUCGAAGACAUAUCUGAACUUAUCUAUAAAAAGGCCAGUGAAAAAAUACGGACGAAAUUCAUGGCGUAAAGAAGACUUUAACUGACUUUAAUACUAUAAUGAAUGUCCUCCCGUGCCACUACUUAAGUUGCGUUAUAGGACGAUUAUCGUCUAGCUCAUGUUAUGUGCCGUUGAACUAUUAUUAUAAAUACAAGUGAAGUUAUCGAUCCCUACGCAGUCCAUUACACGUGCGAAGUCUCCUUUCUCUACUACGUGUAAUGAGGAAAGACGUUCAUUUCUUUCCUAAACAAGGGUAUUGUUCCUACCUUUCAUAAACGGUUUUUUUUGUUCCUACCUUUCAUAUUGUCGAAUGUUUUUGGUUGCACCUGUUGUGUCUAGACCUUGAGCUCAUUUAGUAUGAGUGUUUAUUCAAAAACUCUUCUCUCUGAACCUUUGGUCUCUUCUCCUCGCUUCUAGUUCUGAUCUUAAACUUUUUUUUGUACUACCGUUUCAAAUGUCUUAACUCGGUUGUCUACCCUUGGGUUGUCGACUAAUGUAAGUAUACGAACACUGGAACAUUCUAAAUACAACGAAUUAACGUAACGAUUUUCACGUGAAGAUAAAAGUCCACGAUUGCUUCUCCUAAUUGUUUCCUUUAUCAUAGGUUUGAACGUUUUAUGAGAAAAUGUAUCUAGAUGAGGAUUAUUCUGAGGUCAACGUUCCGGUUGACAAUAAAGAAGUUUACGAGAGUAUGUUCAACGUUGCUCCUUAAGAGCUUACAAAUUUCGUUACCUAGGUUUCUUGAUCGACCUGACCUGAGAUCUAGUACCUGUCAAAUCAAACCGUGAAUUAAUCCUACCGAUUUAAUGUAGACUCAAAGUAAACUACCUAUAAACGAUACUCUUAAUACUUAAAUACUUACAUGUAUAAUAUACAUACCAAACCUUAUAACAUUAACUUACGGACAUAAAAAAAUGCCAACGUUACCCGAUAAUGGUGUUGGUUGAAAACCAACUUUAUCUCAUAGCGGUACUUUUCA
Molecule: ribosomal RNA, 2340 nt
Filed under: Triticum aestivum (bread wheat)
Lineage: Eukaryota; Viridiplantae; Streptophyta; Magnoliopsida; Poales; Poaceae
Description: partial small subunit ribosomal RNA
Source: RNAcentral